This 1808-nucleotide long non-coding RNA is filed under the name Triticum aestivum (bread wheat). Its description in RNAcentral is "long non-coding RNA (TAES_LNC006300)". The record is from RNAcentral. Lineage: Eukaryota; Viridiplantae; Streptophyta; Magnoliopsida; Poales; Poaceae.
AAUCUGGUCAGUCAAGUGAUGGUCUUUAAGCCUCCUUCUUUGCUUUUUUCUUGAUAUGUAAGAUUUGUUCACAUAUUUGUUCAAUUGCUUGUUUGUAUCAGCCAGCCAUACUAGGACUGUUUGCUUUGAUUACUUCCUAUUCUUGACCUAACACUCUAACAGAGCUUGUCAAUGAUUUAAAUACUAGGGGUUGAUGUAGUGGGGGCUUGUCUAAGUCAUAGGUGACAUAAAGAUUUGGCUGUACACUAAAGUAGGCUUUCCAAGAGUACCUGGAGAUCCAGUUCAAAGGUAUGCCUAGUUUUUACAAAGUACACACAUAGUAAAUGCUCAUUUCAUUGUGUGCAAGAGAUUUGGCAUGUUUCAUUAUGUGGUCUUGUUUUGUUAUAAUUUCAUCCUUUUGUGUUGUUCACAGACUGGAAAGCAUGCAUAUUUAUCUUCCAAGGAGACGAGUAACUAGUUUGUGUCACCUUGCAGAGGGGGUGCAAUGAAGAUAAGAUUGAGGAUUUCAAAGUAAAAGAUGUUAGGAAGGAGCCUUGCAAGAGAAGGAGGAGCAUCGCUGAGCCUAUUCAACCAGUUAAGGUAAGUCAUUGUAUCCAACUCAACAGUUCAAUUGUUUGUUUGUUUCAGGUAUAGUUAAAUUGCUCUUUUCAAUUGCUUUAUUUGUCCUAAUGAGAUGCCCAAACAAUGAUGUCUGAUGUUGGGUACUUGUAUAACUAUUAGUUGACAUAAUUAAAGGCUUUACAAUUUAAUUACCCUGGCAAAGUGUGCCAAAAGCUUUGAAGUCUAUUAACCAACUAUUACUGCAUGAGACUCAAUAUCUAGUUUAUACUAGACUAAUGAUUGCAAAGUUUUGCUUGCUGUAGUAGGUUUGUAUGAAUCCCUCUGUUGUUCAUUAUGCUCCCUAAGACUUUAAUUGACCUACAGAAUGGCCAACUGCUUGCUUACUUAUACGCAACGUGAUGUCUAAAUUUGUAACAUGUCUGUGUUUUGGAUUUGGCCCCAAUAUCAUGCUCCUCUGGUGAGCUAACAGAGAUUUCUGUAUGCGGGCUGCAUAGACUACCAUUUUUAUAAUUUUUAAAAUAUCACCUGCUUAUGCUUUAUGACGUGUAACAUUAUUGUUAGUCCUGUUUUGCCAUGUAGAAAAUAGUCUGUCUUGCUCGCUUCAGUGUUGUAACUAUAUUUUUGCCCUGGUCAUGUGUACUUACAGAAACAUUUUAGGAUGAAGUGACAUCAACACAAAGAUCUGUGAGCAGUGCGGCAUGGUCGUUACCAAAUGAUUAUGGUUUGGAAUUGGAAUGUACUGAUGUUCUUGAGCAUCAACUAGAGGUGGCAAGACAACAUGUACAUGAUUCUCAACGUGCAAUCAACAAGUUGAGACUGCACUUGCAGGUAUUAGAUGCCGGAGUCAAAAAAAGGAAACGAGACACUGAGGUAACCAUGAAGGAAUUGGAGAUUUUGUAGACUAAAAUUUGUGCUAUCUGAAUCCGGCCAAUCCUAUUUUCUAAAGAUAUUAUAGUUCAAAUGGUAAGUUCUGUUGAUGCGUGUCCAUGAUGUAUGAGCUUUAUUUGUUCAGUGUAUGUAAUUUGCUAUUUGUGUACGCUUUAUUAUCACUGGUGCCAAACUAUAAUGCCCAAAGGGUAUAUUCGGCUGUAAUUUCUCUAUUGUAUAGUGUAGGAUUAUUCUACGUUUCUAUGCCUUAGUAUUUUUAUUGUAUAGUGUAUGUUUUUUAGAGGUGAUAGUAUAGAGUAGGAUAAUUCUUUGAAUAUGCUAUAUCGUUGAAACGGGGGCCAACACGCCCGAACAUUUCC